AUCGUAGUCCGGAUUGGAGUCUGCAACUCGACUCCAUGAAGUCGGAAUCGCUAGUAAUCGCGGAUCAGAAUGCCGCGGUGAAUACGUUCCCGGGCCUUGUACACACCGCCCGUCACACCAUGGGAGUUUGUUGCACCAGAAGUAGCUAGCCUAACUGCAAAGAGGGCGGUUACCACGGUGUGGCCGAUGACUGGGGUGAAGUCGUAACAAGGUAGCCGUAGGGGAACCUGCGGCUGGAUCACCUCCUUA
This 249-nucleotide ribosomal RNA is filed under the name Acinetobacter baumannii. Its description in RNAcentral is "partial 16S ribosomal RNA". It matches the Rfam family "Bacterial small subunit ribosomal RNA", at positions 1285 to 1533 of the family's 1533-position model. The record is from RNAcentral. Lineage: Bacteria; Pseudomonadati; Pseudomonadota; Gammaproteobacteria; Moraxellales; Moraxellaceae. RNAcentral also lists the same sequence under 1 other name.